Molecule: long non-coding RNA, 557 nt
Organism: Lates calcarifer (barramundi perch)
Lineage: Eukaryota; Metazoa; Chordata; Actinopteri; Centropomidae
Exons: 4
Source: RefSeq, a predicted model, not a curated record
AGCCCGGAUGUUAAAACAAACUGUGGAGCUGCUGUUUGUCGAGCAUGAAUGAGGCUGAAUACACCUGCGAAGGUUUCACCACUUCGUUCACAACAUGAGACGCAGAGACUUUGUCCAUAAUCUCUGAGGCAUUGUCCGCGAUCACAGAGACGUAGUCCACGAUGAGUCCAGGACAGAGGCCUCCAGGUGUCACCAAAUCGUCAACGACAUCGUCCACGAUCGCAGAGACAUGGUCCAUCAUCGGAGAGACAUUGUUGAGGAUGAGGGAGACAUCGUCCACGAUCGGAGACAUUGUCCAUGACUCAUGGUGACUUGGUCCCCGAUUAGUCGGCAUUGCCGGCGUUCAGAGACAUUGUAGAUGAUCGCAGAGACUUUGUCCAUAAUCUCAGAGACAUUGUCCGCGAUCGCAGAGUCUUUGUGCAAUGAAGACGUUCUGUGAGACCAGGACAGAGGCCUCCAGAUUUCCUCCAAGUGUCAGCACUUCAUCCAUGACAUCGUCUAUGAUCGCCGAGACGACGUCUUCGAUCGGAGAGACAUUGUUGAGGAUGAGGGAGACA